RNAcentral lists this ribosomal RNA (253 nucleotides) under uncultured bacterium. Its description in RNAcentral is "partial 16S ribosomal RNA". It matches the Rfam family "Bacterial small subunit ribosomal RNA", at positions 524 to 776 of the family's 1533-position model. The record is from RNAcentral.
UACGGAGGGUGCAAGCGUUAAUCGGAAUUACUGGGCGUAAAGCGUGCGCAGGCGGUUUUGUAAGACUGUCGUGAAAUCCCCGGGCUUAACCUGGGAAUUGCGAUGGUGACUGCAAGGCUAGAGUUUGGCAGAGGGGGGUAGAAUUCCACGUGUAGCAGUGAAAUGCGUAGAGAUGUGGAGGAACACCGAUGGCGAAGGCAGCCCCCUGGGUCAAAACUGACGCUCAUGCACGAAAGCGUGGGGAGCAAACAGG